UACGAAGGGUGCAAGCGUUACUCGGAAUUACUGGGCGUAAAGCGUGCGUAGGUGGUGAGUUAAGUCUGUCGUGAAAGCCCCGGGCUCAACCUGGGAAUGGCGAUGGAUACUGGCUCGCUAGAGUGCGGUAGAGGGUGGUGGAAUUACCGGUGUAGCAGUGAAAUGCGUAGAGAUCGGGAGGAACAUCAGUUGCGAAGGCGGCCACCUGGACCAGCACUGACACUGAGGCACGAAAGCGUGGGGAGCAAACAGG
This 253-nucleotide ribosomal RNA is filed under the name uncultured bacterium. Its description in RNAcentral is "partial 16S ribosomal RNA". It matches the Rfam family "Bacterial small subunit ribosomal RNA", at positions 524 to 776 of the family's 1533-position model. The record is from RNAcentral.